GAUGAACGCUAGCGAUAGGCCUAACACAUGCAGGUCGAGGGGCAGCAUAGAGUAGCAAUACUUUGAUGGCGACCGGCGCACGGGUGAGUAACACGUAUGCAACCUACCUACAUCAGGGGAAUAACCCGGAGAAAUUCGGACUAAUACCGCAUAAUACAGGGAUGCCGCAUGGCAAUAUUUGUUAAAGAUUUAUCGGAUGUAGAUGGGCAUGCGUUCCAUUAGUUAGUUGGUGAGGUAACGGCUCACCAAGGCAACGAUGGAUAGGGGAACUGAGAGGUUUGUCCCCCACACUGGAACUGAGACACGGACCAGACUCCUACGGGAGGCAGCAGUGAGGAAUAUUGGUCAAUGGACGAGAGUCUGAACCAGCCAAAUCGCGUGAAGGAAGACUGCCCUACGGGUUGUAAACUUCUUUUGUACGGGAAUAAAAGACAUUACGUGUAAUGUAUUGCAUGUACUGUACGAAUAAGCAUCGGCUAACUCCGUGCCAGCCGCCGCCGUAA
Molecule: ribosomal RNA, 503 nt
Filed under: uncultured bacterium
Lineage: Bacteria
Description: partial 16S ribosomal RNA
Rfam family: Bacterial small subunit ribosomal RNA
Source: RNAcentral